This 892-nucleotide ribosomal RNA is filed under the name Colletotrichum siamense. RNAcentral describes it as "LSU rRNA". It matches the Rfam family "Eukaryotic large subunit ribosomal RNA", at positions 36 to 960 of the family's 3401-position model. The record is from RNAcentral. Lineage: Eukaryota; Fungi; Ascomycota; Sordariomycetes; Glomerellales; Glomerellaceae.
GAGCAUAUCAAUAAGCGGAGGAAAAGAAACCAACAGGGAUUGCCUCAGUAACGGCGAGUGAAGCGGCAACAGCUCAAAUUUGAAAUCUGGCCCUAGGCCCGAGUUGUAAUUUGCAGAGGAUGCUUUUGGUGCGGUGCCUUCCAAGUUCCCUAGAACGGGACGCCAGAGAGGGUGAGAGCCCCGUACAGUUGGACACCAAGCCUUUGUAAAGCUCCUUCGACGAGUCGAGUAGUUUGGGAAUGCUGCUCAAAAUGGGAGGUAUAUUUCUUCUAAAGCUAAAUACCGGCCAGAGACCGAUAGCGCACAAGUAGAGUGAUCGAAAGAUGAAAAGCACUUUGAAAAGAGGGUUAAACAGCACGUGAAAUUGUUAAAAGGGAAGCGCUUGUGACCAGACUUGCGUCCGGUGAAUCACCCAGCUCUCGCGGCUGGGGCACUUCGCCGGCUCAGGCCAGCAUCAGCUCGCUGUCGGGGACAAAAGCUUCAGGAACGUAGCUCUCUUCGGGGAGUGUUAUAGCCUGUUGCAUAAUACCCUUCGGCGGGCUGAGGUACGCGCUCCGCAAGGAUGCUGGCAUAAUGGUCAUCAGCGACCCGUCUUGAAACACGGACCAAGGAGUCAACCUUAUGUGCGAGUGUUCGGGUGUCAAACCCCUACGCGUAAUGAAAGUGAACGCAGGUGAGAGCUUCGGCGCAUCAUCGACCGAUCCUGAUGUUCUCGGAUGGAUUUGAGUAAGAGCAUAUAGGGUUGGACCCGAAAGAAGGUGAACUAUGCGUGUAUAGGGUGAAGCCAGAGGAAACUCUGGUGGAGGCUCGCAGCGGUUCUGACGUGCAAAUCGAUCGUCAAAUAUGCGCAUGGGGGCGAAAGACUAAUUGAACCUUCUAGUAGCGGUUCGCG